KGUYAGCGGCGGACGGGUGAGUAACACGUGGGUAACCUGCCUGUAAGACUGGGAUAACUCCGGGAAACCGGGGCUAAUACCGGAUGCUUGAUUGAACCGCAUGGUUCAAUGAUAAAAGGKGGCUUUUAGCUWCCACUUWCAGAUGGACCCGCGGCGCAUUAGCUAGUUGGUGAGGUAACGGCUCACCAAGGCGACGAUGCGUAGCCGACCUGRGAGGGKGAUCGGCCACACUGGGACUGARACACGGCCCARACUCCUACGGGAGGCAGCAGUAGGGAAUCUUCCSCAAUGGACGAAAGUCUGACGGAGCAACSCCSCGUGAGUGAUGAAGGUUUUCGGAUCGUAAAACUYUGUUGUUAGGGAARAACAAGUWCCGUUCGAAUAGGGSGGYACCUUGACGGKACCUAACCAGAAAGCCACGGCUAACUACSU
Molecule: ribosomal RNA, 432 nt
Filed under: Bacillus licheniformis
Lineage: Bacteria; Bacillati; Bacillota; Bacilli; Caryophanales; Bacillaceae
Description: partial 16S ribosomal RNA
Rfam family: Bacterial small subunit ribosomal RNA
Source: RNAcentral